This 1388-nucleotide long non-coding RNA is filed under the name Dromaius novaehollandiae (emu). RNAcentral describes it as "lncRNA (ENSDNVG00000006360.1)". Lineage: Eukaryota; Metazoa; Chordata; Aves; Casuariiformes; Dromaiidae. The record is from RNAcentral.
AUGUAUCUUUCUUUCUUUAGCCCUUUCCAGGCCCAGGGUUACACCUUAUGCAGUCAUUCCACGUGUUUUCUUUGCCUCUGUUUGAAGGCCUGGGAGCACCCCACAGAGCACAGUGUUGUACUGACAGCAGUCCUACUGCCUAGUUAUCCUCUCAAAGAAAGGAUUCAUCAGGAACUUCUUUUUAUUUUGAAAGGAAGGGAUAAGACAGAGCUUUGCAAAAUAGAUGAUGGUUAGGGCUAGAUUCUGAACUCCAUCAGAUCUGGUGAGAAGUAUUUUCUUUCCUGAACACUCCCCCUGGAGCAGUGGCAUCUCUCAUUACAGGCACUGCAGGAGGGUGGCCUGGGGGCCCAGAAAGGCAAAAAAUGUUGUCCAGCUAGUUAUUCACUUUCAUUAUGAGGAUUUGGAAAGCAUGGAUGGCCUCAUAUUUCUGGAGGAUUUACUAGGAGAGGUGCUGAGAUUGUAAACGGAGUUCCAGCUUGCCUUCUCCUCCAUUGGGAAAGUUGGGUUUCAGGCAUUGUAGAGGAAACRUGGUAGAAACUUUGCAGCCCUGAGUUAGGAGAGGUGGUGUCUCAGGAUGGUGUACAACCACAGUGCAAAAUACCGAAAGGGGGGUGAGGGGUAGUUUGUUUUAUACAGCACUUAUAACCAGUCCCUUUUGGUCUGAAAAAGCCUCUGUGAAUAAUCGCGGAGCACAGUCUGUGGCUGAGAACAGGUGUGGAGGAAAAGCAGCAAUAUUACUGCUUGUUACAUACGUGGGGAAAUGAAAAUUGGUAGGAGCUUAGACUCACCGCAGGACUUCCACUGACUGUUACAGGAUCAGGCUAUCAGGUCACCCUUUCUGUCUCAGCAGGCAGAUGUGCUGUGGUCCAAAGCCUUGGGGUUUCUAGCSGAGGGAGAAGCAGGAAACAACAGACACCAGUGAAACUGAUUUAAUAUUAAUUCUUGUUAUAUAAAAUCAUUUGGGGACUGUUAGGUCCACUGGUCACUUACCACACAAGCCAGAUGUAUCGUAUUGCAAAUGUCUUGGUUCUGAAGCUGCUGUUCUCAAUGCAGAGAUUCCCAGUGGGGUUUCCUCUUUACUCAGGAUAUCGAGUACUUGGGCAGCUCUGCAUGUCAUAACUUUAUACAGACUAAAGUGCAAUUGUGUGCAUUCAUUACAUAGUUUGCCUUAGGACUAUGUGGAAUUUCUGUGGUUUGAGGUUUAUGUUUGGUAUAAUCAGUGUUCAUAAUUCAYCUACUACUUAAUUUUACAAAAGUAUCCAUUUUGCUUUCUUUUUUUUUAAUGUUUAUUUGACUUGGUGAUCUUAAAYCUACAGUGGAGCAGAUAAGGCUGUGCUGGAACGCUUAAAAGUUCUUUUAAUAAAGAUUUGGCUUCCAGACUUGUGUCA